CCGUGCUAAGGUAGCGUAAUCAGUUGGCUUUUAAAGGGAGUCAGGAAUGAAUGGGAAAACCGGGUUUAGCUGUCUCCCAACUAUUUUCUUGAAUUUACUGUUUAAGUGAAAAAGCUUAAAAAUGAUAAAGGGACGAGAAGACCCUUAGAAUUUUUUUUAAAAUGGAAAUUUUUCUAUAAUAAUUUUGUUGGGGCGACAGAGAAAUAUUUAAAACUUUCUUUAAAUUUACAUGCCGAUAUUGUUAAGUAAGAAUAAAUUACCUGAGGGAUAACAGCAUAAUUCUAUAGUUGAGUUUGUGACCUCGAUGUUGGACUAGGAAACUAACAGGCUAGCCGUUUG
Molecule: ribosomal RNA, 339 nt
Filed under: Coryphella verrucosa
Lineage: Eukaryota; Metazoa; Mollusca; Gastropoda; Nudibranchia; Coryphellidae
Description: partial large subunit ribosomal RNA
Source: RNAcentral